GACAGAGGGGGCAAGCGUUGCUCGGAAUCACUGGGCGUAAAGGGUGCGUAGGCGGCGCGGUAAGUCGGGUGUGAAAUCUCGGAGCUUAACUCCGAAACUGCAUUCGAUACUGCCGUGCUUGAGGACUGGAGAGGAGACUGGAAUUUACGGUGUAGCGGUGAAAUGCGUAGAUAUCGUAAGGAAGACCGGUGGCGAAGGCGGGUCUCUGGACAGUUCCUGACGCUGAGGCACGAAGGUCAGGGGAGCAAACGGG
Molecule: ribosomal RNA, 253 nt
Filed under: uncultured bacterium
Lineage: Bacteria
Description: partial 16S ribosomal RNA
Rfam family: Bacterial small subunit ribosomal RNA
Source: RNAcentral